Non-coding RNA from Triticum aestivum (bread wheat), 135 nucleotides. The record is from Rfam. Lineage: Eukaryota; Viridiplantae; Streptophyta; Magnoliopsida; Poales; Poaceae.
AAAGUACUCCCUCCGUCCCAAAAUUCUUGUCUUAGAUUUGUCUAGAUACAGAUGUAUCAAGUCACAUUUUAGUAUUAGAUACAUCCAUAUCUAGACAAAUCUAAGACAAGAAAUUUGGGACAGAGGGAGUAGUUG